Molecule: ribosomal RNA, 301 nt
Filed under: uncultured bacterium
Lineage: Bacteria
Description: partial 16S ribosomal RNA
Rfam family: Bacterial small subunit ribosomal RNA
Source: RNAcentral
CAGUAGCCGCGGUAAUACAGAGGGUGCGAGCGUUAAUCGGAUUUACUGGGAGUAAAGCGUGCGUAGGCGGCUUCUUAAGUCGGAUGUGAAAUCCCUGAGCUUAACUUAGGAAUUGCAUUCGAUACUGGGAAGCUAGAGUAUGGGAGAGGAUGGUAGAAUUCCAGGUGUAGCGGUGAAAUGCGUAGAGAUCUGGAGGAAUACCGAUGGCGAAGGCAGCCAUCUGGCCUAAUACUGACGCUGAGGUACGAAAGCAUGGGGAGCAAACAGGAUUAGAUACCCGCGUAGUCCCUGUCUCUUAUAC